This 253-nucleotide ribosomal RNA is filed under the name uncultured bacterium. RNAcentral describes it as "partial 16S ribosomal RNA". It matches the Rfam family "Bacterial small subunit ribosomal RNA", at positions 524 to 776 of the family's 1533-position model. The record is from RNAcentral.
UACGUAGGGGGCAAGCGUUGUCCGGAUUUAUUGGGCGUAAAGAGCGUGUAGGCGGCUUUGCAAGUCCGUUGUGAAAACUCGAGGCUCAACCUCGAGACGCCGGUGGAAACUGCAAAGCUAGAGUCCGGAAGAGGAGAGUGGAAUUCCUGGUGUAGCGGUGAAAUGCGCAGAUAUCAGGAAGAACACCCGUGGCGAAGGCGGGUCUCUGGACAGUUCCUGACACUGAGGCACGAAGGCCAGGGGAGCAAACGGG